UCGUAUUGUUUAUUAUGUAAAUUGACCUUUUUUUAAAUAUAUAUAUAUAUAUAUAGUCUAUAUAUACAUAAAUAUUGUACUAUAAAAGUGUAACUAUUUUUAUGACUUGCCUUUGCUUUCUCGAGUUAACAUCUAUCACCUGCACUAAAGUAAAUAAAUGGAAAGAGAGCCUUACUUUUGUUUGAGAAUUUAACAAUAGCUAAACAAAAACGAAAACCUUUUGUACAGUAAAAUCCAUUAUUUUAUUCUUCAGCUUAAAAAAUAAUAUCAUGUUCAAAUCGAGUAGAAUGUAAGAUUAAAAUUUAUGUCUAAAAUUUAAAAAAAAAAAAAAAAAAAAGAUAUGGCCAAAUUCCGAGAUAAUUGCGCCACGUUUAAAAGUUAAAAACCGGGUUUCUGUCAAUGAAAAUUCUGCGAAAACCACUAUGCAGGUGUGACAACUCCCAUAACACGUCUUUCCCAUAAGGAAUGCCUCAAACAAUUGUCGCAUCAGGUGCUAUAGACGAAGCCUUUGUUUCCCUGGUCUUUGAAGCUUAUAGUAAGACGGAUGACCCUGAUUACCAGUUCAGUCAAAGGUUAAAGACGAAGAUGUGUACACGUGUGCUGCUACUCGUAGUAAUUCUUAACUUCGCAACGGUUCUCGGCAAACGAAAAGGUGUCGAAGAAGAAAGAACUGUAGCAAAAAAACCUGCAAGUACUCUGGUAAGUAAUUUUUCUUUAUGGUGGCAAUAUAUAUAGGCAAGCCUAUAUAUAUGGGGGAUAACGAUCCAUUUAGCAUGUCCAACUAACCGACUGAAACAUUAUUGUGCGAUUUGAGACAUUGUUCUAGUAAAAUAGAAGGAAAAUCACUCUUUUGUUUACUCAUUUUUGGAUAUUUUUAUCUAAUAAAAUGUAUGGAAU
Molecule: long non-coding RNA, 897 nt
Filed under: Androctonus crassicauda
Lineage: Eukaryota; Metazoa; Arthropoda; Arachnida; Scorpiones; Buthidae
Source: RNAcentral